UGCAGUCGAGCGGUAUGAAGGGAGCUUGCUCCUGGAUUCAGCGGCGGACGGGAGAGUAAUGCCUAGGAAUCUGCCUGGUAGUGGGGGAUAACGUCCGGAAACGGGCGCUAAUACCGCAUACGUCCUGAGGGAGAAAGUGGGGGAUCUUCGGACCUCACGCUAUCAGAUGAGCCUAGGUCGGAUUAGCUAGUUGGUGGGGUAACGGCCUACCAAGGCGACGAUCCGUAACUGGUCUGAGAGGAUGAUCAGUCACACUGGAACUGAGACCCGGUCCAGACUCCUACGGGAGGCAGCAGUGGGGAAUAUUGGACAAUGGGCGAAAGCCUGAUCCAGCCGUGCCGCGUGUGUGAAGAAGGUCUUCGGAUUGUAAAGCACUUUAAGUUGGGAGGAAGGGCAGGAAGUUAAUACCUUGCUGUUUUGACGUUACCAACAGAAUAAGCACCGGCUAACUUCGUGCCAGCACCCGCGGUAAUACGAAGGGUGCAAGCGUUAAUCGGAAUUACUGGGCGUAAAGCGCGCGUAGGUGGUUCAGCAAGUUGGAUGUGAAAUCCCCGGGCUCAACCUGGGAACUGCAUCCAAAACUACUGAGCUAGAGUACGGUAGAGGGUGGUGGAAUUUCCUGUGUAGCGGUGAAAUGCGUAGAUAUAGGAAGGAACACCAGUGGCGAAUGCGACCACCUGGACUGAUACUGACACUGAGGUGCGAAAGCGUGGGGGAGCAAACAGGAUUAGAUACCCUGGUAGUCCACGUCCGUAUACGAUGUCGACUAGCCGUUUGGGGAUCCUUGAAGAU
RNAcentral lists this ribosomal RNA (792 nucleotides) under Pseudomonas aeruginosa. RNAcentral's name for it is "bacterial SSU rRNA". It matches the Rfam family "Bacterial small subunit ribosomal RNA", at positions 56 to 838 of the family's 1533-position model. The record is from RNAcentral. Lineage: Bacteria; Pseudomonadati; Pseudomonadota; Gammaproteobacteria; Pseudomonadales; Pseudomonadaceae.